GCUUAAUCGAAGUACAGUAGAUUAACUUUAUCUCCGCACCAGUUGCGGAAACGAGACAUCACCCGAUUGUCCUUUUUCCGAGACGUAUCGAACCGGUGGUGCAGGUAAAUCGGAAAUAUGGCGAGGAAAGCCUCGAUAAUCGCCGAGAUCUUUAGAGGAUAAGGUUAAGAUUGGUCGUCUCUUGCCUAUCUUGACAUGAAAACCAAGAUGAGAAUAAGCAUGUAGAAAGCUCAUUGUUUCGGCGACUGGACGAGGGUUCAAACCCCUCCAGCUCCACUU
This 279-nucleotide transfer-messenger RNA is filed under the name Duncaniella freteri. Its description in RNAcentral is "partial transfer-messenger RNA". It matches the Rfam family "transfer-messenger RNA", at positions 82 to 374 of the family's 374-position model. From Rfam's summary of the family: Bacterial tmRNA, also known as 10Sa RNA or SsrA, is named for its dual tRNA and mRNA-like properties. The record is from RNAcentral. Lineage: Bacteria; Pseudomonadati; Bacteroidota; Bacteroidia; Bacteroidales; Muribaculaceae.